This 287-nucleotide long non-coding RNA is filed under the name Marmota monax (woodchuck). The record is from RNAcentral. Lineage: Eukaryota; Metazoa; Chordata; Mammalia; Rodentia; Sciuridae.
CAUGUAUUUAAAUGGUGUACUGUAUACGUUAACAUACCCCAUACUUUGUAUUGGAGAGUACAAUAAUGUAAAUCCUGAAAGCACCACUAUUUUAGCAUAAUAAAAGAAAGUCCAAAGAGCUCCUAUAUGGACUACUCCAGAUAAACUUUGCUUCUUUGAUACUUGUAGCUUAUUGUAAUUUUUUUUAAAUCCAAAGCCAUUAUCAUUGUAUUGUAUAAAAUAAGCUCUUUGAUUAACACAGGUAUAUAGGUUUUUUUAAUUUUUCAAAAACCUAUGGAGGAUUAUCG